AACCAGAGCUUCAUUCAGCAGAAAGCACCGAGCCCAAGCGAUUGCUCCUCCAGCAAACUUUGUCAAACCCCUGAGAAAGAAAAAGCUUCCGGCGGAGGAGGAUGGCCAUGGCGGCGAGGAGGUGCGUACUGUUCGCGGCAUUGUCGCUGCUGGUGUUGGGAUCUUCCCUGGGAUCGUCUGCCGCAAGCCCCGAAUCAUCUUUCGUGAAGAAGACCAUCUCCUCUCACCAGAUCGUCAUCUUCUCCAAGUCCUACUGCCCGUAUUGCAGGAGGGCAAAGGCUGUAUUCAAGGAAUUGAACCAGACACCUCAUGUUGUCGAGCUUGAUGAGAGAGAUGAUGGAUGGAAAAUUCAGGAUGCCUUAAGUCAAAGAAUAGGAAGGCGUACUGUACCCCAGGUGUUUAUAAAUGGGAAGCACAUUGGAGGUUCCGAUGAUACAGUCGAAGCAUAUGAAAGUGGUGAAUUAAGUAAGCUCCUUGGAAUUGAUGGAAAACAGGAGGAGGAACUAUGAGGAAUUGUAUUGUCAAUGGAUAACUGAGCAAUACUUCCAAGUAAUUCUUCAAUACUGGGCUUAUUCUGCUGAGGAUAUGGAUAAGUACACAUGGCUCGAAAUACAUCGGCUCUUUGAUUGUUCUAUGUUCUAAUUGUAGCAAGUGCUAUAUUAUGUGAACUUUUUUUUUUUUAUGGAACAUUUUGGACUUCUAGGAAGUGACUUGCUCUUUUUGCAAUUUCAUCCCAUCUAUCUAAGGUGUUUCCUCUUUCAAUCA
Syzygium oleosum is the source of this 765-nucleotide RNA transcript. The record is from RefSeq and is a predicted model, not a curated record. Lineage: Eukaryota; Viridiplantae; Streptophyta; Magnoliopsida; Myrtales; Myrtaceae.